Molecule: ribosomal RNA, 301 nt
Filed under: uncultured bacterium
Lineage: Bacteria
Description: partial 16S ribosomal RNA
Rfam family: Bacterial small subunit ribosomal RNA
Source: RNAcentral
CAGCGCCGCGGGAAUACGGAGGGGGCUAGCGUUAUUCGGAAUUACUGGGCGCAAAGCGCACGUAGGCGGCUUCGCAAGUCAGAGGUGAAAGCCUGGAGCUCAACUCCAGAAUUGCCUUUGAGACUGCGUCGCUCGAAUCCGGGAGAGGUGAGUGGAAUUCCGAGUGUAGAGGUGAAAUUCGUAGAUAUUCGGAAGAACACUAGUGGCGAAGGCGGCUCACUGGACCGGCAUUGACGCUGAGGUGCGAAAGCGUGGGGAGCAAACAGGAUUAGAUACCCCGGUAGUCCCUGUCUCUUAUACA